RNAcentral lists this ribosomal RNA (511 nucleotides) under uncultured bacterium. RNAcentral's name for it is "partial 16S ribosomal RNA". It matches the Rfam family "Bacterial small subunit ribosomal RNA", at positions 28 to 523 of the family's 1533-position model. The record is from RNAcentral.
GACGAACGCUGGCGGCGUGCUUAACACAUGCAAGUCGAACGGACUAUCUCAUUUCGGUGGGGUGGUUAGUGGCGAACGGGUGAGUAACGCGUAGACAACCUACCUCUUAGAUGGGGACAACAUCGCGAAAGCGGUGCUAAUACCGAAUGAAGUGACUUUCCUGCAUGGGAGAGAUACUAAAGGUGGCCUCUAUUUAUAAGCUACCACUGAGAGAUGGGUCUGCGUCUGAUUAGCUAGUUGGCGGGGUAACGGCCCACCAAGGCGACGAUCAGUAGCCGGUCUGAGAGGAGGAACGGCCACAUUGGGACUGCGACACGGCCCAGACUCCUACGGGAGGCAGCAGUGGGGAAUAUUGCGCAAUGGACGAAAGUCUGACGCAGCGACGCCGCGUGUGGGAUGAAGCUCUUCGGGGUGUAAACCACUGUUGCCCGGGAAGAAUCUCCUGAUUCAUCAGGAUUGACGGUACCGGGUGAGGAAGCACCGGCUAACUCUGUGCCAGCAGCCGCGGUAA